This 581-nucleotide long non-coding RNA is filed under the name Amphimedon queenslandica. RNAcentral's name for it is "uncharacterized LOC109587731, transcript variant X2". The record is from RNAcentral. Lineage: Eukaryota; Metazoa; Porifera; Demospongiae; Haplosclerida; Niphatidae.
UUUGGUCUAUUUGAUAACAUAAUAUGCUUGCAAUUACUUCAGGCAACUAAAGGGCAGUGAUAAUAACUCAGGAUCAUCAACAGUUAAACUACCAGUGAAAUAGAUGGCAUUAAAGACCCUUCAUGAUGGACUGUUCUCUGAAAAAUCAGAUGUUUGGUCUUAUGGUGUUCUUUGUUGGAAAAUAUUCAGUCUUGGUAAGGUACCAUAUCCUGGUCUGGAUCCAAUAGGAGUAGUGGAGUUACUGGAUACUGGAGGAUGAUUGCAUUAUGGAACCGCUCAAUGCAUCACAGGAAAUGCAAGAGCAUACAGAUUUACUUAGGUCUAGGUGUGGUUAGAAAGAGCUGUAUAGCCAUACUAAAAAUGUUGCUCCUCACAUUACUUUUCUCUGCUUGGAUAUUAUCAACAGCUCUAGUCAAUGGUUGCUUACAUGGUCAGGUACGUUUAGUAGAUGGAGAUGGUCCAAAUGUGGGAAGACUAGAAAUAUGUAUUAAUGGAGAUUGGGGAACUGUUUGUGAUGAUAUGUGGACACACACCAAUGCUCAGGUAGUCUGUAGACAACUGGGAUACUCUACUGAUGGUAA